This 468-nucleotide ribosomal RNA is filed under the name uncultured bacterium. RNAcentral describes it as "partial 16S ribosomal RNA". It matches the Rfam family "Bacterial small subunit ribosomal RNA", at positions 28 to 507 of the family's 1533-position model. The record is from RNAcentral.
GACGAACGCUGGCGGCGUGCUUAACACAUGCAAGUCGAACGGAAAGGCCCUGCUUUUGUGGGGUGCUCGAGUGGCGAACGGGUGAGUAACACGUGAGUAAGCUGCCCUUUACUUUGUGAUAACUUCAGGAAACUGGGGCUAAUACCGGAUAGGAGCUCCUGCUGCAUGGUGGGGGUUGGAAAGUUUCGGCGGUUGGGGAUGGACUCGCGGCUUAUCAGCUUGUUGGUGGGGUAGUGGCUUACCAAGGCUUUGACGGGUAGCCGGCCUGAGAGGGUGACCGGCCACAUUGGGACUGAGAGACGGCCCAGACUCCUACGGGAGGCAGCAGUGGGGAAUAUUGCACAAUGGGCGGAAGCCUGAUGCAGCAACGCCGCGUGCGGGAUGACGGCCUUCGGGUUGUAAACCGCUUUCGCCUGUGACGAAGCGUGAGUGACGGUAAUGGGUAAAGAAGCACCGGCUAACUACGUG